CUUUUUGGAGCAAAAGAAAAGAUAUGGUAUAAUAAAAAAGUCAGUUUAUGACUAUGGCGAUAAACGAUUCGCGCAAUAGGCUUAAUGGACCAGGGGGCGGUACCCUGCGUCUCCGCCAAUUUUUAUGGGGACGAAAUAGGUUCGACAUUUGGCAGUAAAGGCGUUUUCUUUCGUUCGGCAUUGUUCCGCCGUUAUCGGGCUAAUUUUAAUAGAUGCCAAUCUUAAUAGAAAAGGCAGAGGUCGCGUAGCAAACCGUCAAAGUGAAGCUGCUGCAUUGAAAGUUGCUUAAUAGCCUUAUUGGUUGUUAAGCCUUUUAGUUCUUGCUAUUUUUAAAUAAAUAGUAGCGAUCCGCGGUCUGGGGGAAACCGAGCAACAGAAUUCCCCCGUU
This 388-nucleotide transfer-messenger RNA is filed under the name Holosporales bacterium. It matches the Rfam family "Alphaproteobacteria transfer-messenger RNA". Rfam says of the family: Bacterial tmRNA, also known as 10Sa RNA or SsrA, is named for its dual tRNA and mRNA-like properties. Its role is to liberate the mRNA from a stalled ribosome. To accomplish this part of the tmRNA is used as a reading frame that ends in a translation stop signal. The record is from RNAcentral. Lineage: Bacteria; Pseudomonadati; Pseudomonadota; Alphaproteobacteria; Holosporales.